GCAUUGGUGGUAUAGUGGUGAGCAUAGCUGCCUUCCAAGCAGUUAACCGGUUCGAUUCCCGGCCAAUGCA
RNAcentral lists this transfer RNA (70 nucleotides) under Ameiurus melas (black bullhead). It matches the Rfam family "tRNA". From Rfam's summary of the family: Transfer RNA (tRNA) molecules are approximately 80 nucleotides in length. Their secondary structure includes four short double-helical elements and three loops (D, anti-codon, and T loops). Further hydrogen bonds mediate the characteristic L-shaped molecular structure. tRNAs have two regions of fundamental functional importance: the anti-codon, which is responsible for specific mRNA codon recognition, and the 3' end, to which the tRNAs corresponding amino acid is attached (by aminoacyl-tRNA synthetases). tRNAs cope with the degeneracy of the genetic code in two manners: having more than one tRNA (with a specific anti-codon) for a particular amino acid; and 'wobble' base-pairing, i.e. permitting non-standard base-pairing at the 3rd anti-codon position. Lineage: Eukaryota; Metazoa; Chordata; Actinopteri; Siluriformes; Ictaluridae. The record is from Rfam by way of RNAcentral.